GCUCCAAUAAGCUAAUAAUAACCAUAAUAGCAAAAUGUUUUAACCCAAUCACAUAAGUUUUACGGUUCAACACUUCAAAAGUUAAAGUUUCAAAUGUUAAUAACAAAAGACUCCGAGAACAUCGACAACAAUUCAAAGUUCUUCUUAAGUAAGGUCUAGAUCUUCAAUAUCUCCAUCUUCCCUUUCUUCAAUUACUCCACCUACAAAAGAGGAUAAAUAAAGUUAAUACCCUUCAAGGGUUGGUUUACCAUUAUAAGAAUGGGUAUAGUCCAUGAAUAAUGCAUAAAGCACAAAGUUUCCGGUAGAUAGAAACAAGUUCACACAAAUGAAGAAGUCAAAGUUUAGUAACAAAUCUAAAUCAUCAAAACCAAACUUUUAAGCAUAUGCAUUCAGGCAAAUUGAGAGUUGUGUGCUUUUCUUAUUUUGAACUAACUCAAACAUAAAAACAUAAGCAAAUGAACAAUCUAACAGUUUCGGUAGCCAACCAAACUAACAGUUUUCAACUUUUUAUUUUUUUUGCAAGUAACAAUCUAAAGAUGAAACAUUCCAUGCGAAGCAUAGCAAAAACAGUCCAGCAAAAUACAUAUCGAAACAGAAUUUUUGCAAUAUUGACUUCGAAAAAACAUUGCAACAUAGCUCAUAUCAGACUAACAAUGGAAUGAAAAUGGAAGCUCCAUGUUAUCUUCCACGACUACAACUUGCUAUGGACUUACAUUUUCAUCCUGCAACAAAAAAAACUGUUGUGAUAUCGACCUACUACAGUUCAAAAGACCAGUACAGGUAGGUAAUCAAGACACAAGUAGCUGAUACCAUAAACAAAUUAAGAAGACUGGUAGGUAUUGAAUAUUAAUUCUGAAGUCAAUUUGCUGCAGUCAAUCUCUAUUUAAUUUCUCUUCUCCCUUUCUACACAAAGUUAACACAAGGAGUACGGAGCAAUGGUCACGAUGGUUCGUGUUGUGACUUCUUUACUAAGCUGUUACCUCGAGAUUAUUCGACUUUAGACUACUCUGUUGUCAUUCAUUCCCACUUUGUAGCUUGCAACGUGUUGUGAAUUAUGGAAAGCAUGUAUAUAGAACAAUAUAGUCUUUUACUUCCUGAGAAUUUACUCAUAUUAUAGUUAUACCAUGUACAUUAUUCCCCAAAAGGUGAAGAACAUGGUAUAUUUAAGUAAAUGACACUGGAAACUUAAAGAUAGAAGGCUCACACUACUUCAGCCUAUUGGAUAUUAUGGUCUUACUUUUUAACGGUGCUGGAAAUCAAGGCCUACAGCUAAACACAAAAAAUGUCAACAAGUAAAUGGUGCAAGAAUCAAAUGAAAAGCAAAGGAAAGCACGAAUUGCUUUUAGAAAUCCUGUCAAAACUAAGCACACCAUAGAAACUAUCAGGUAUCAAAACACUCAACUUACUCAGUUGGCAAAUAAUUGGAUAGAUCAGGAACAAUAAUGGUCUACUUUCCAGUGUUACCAACUACAAUCAACAUCUUUAAAUUGUUCUCAUAGACAUUUACUUUUGAGUUCCUAAUAUUAAUCUCAUACUUUAAUUCUUUAGUGCUAGAAGUAGAAUUCUCCCUAAUAGAUUGGGAAGAAACUGCAUUAUGAACCCGCACGUUCUACAAUUCGAAGGAAACAAGAGUUAAGGCAUCAUGACAUUUGCAUUAGAUUUUGUUUUACUUUGAAAGAUCAUAUUCUUUAAAAAGUUUCAAAACACUAGGACUGAUCAUUGUGAUACUUCUUCAAGCUAACAUCCUCUGUUUCUUUUGGCUAAGUAGUGAUUGGGAGCUAAAAUAGGAUGAGAAAGAUGGCAUCUUUCUUUGCAAGUAUACAACAACAAAGAGCCGUCAAGGUAACCACAGAAUUACGCAACGACAAAGGGCCGGAAGCGAAAUUAAAAAAUGACUAGACUAACCAGACUUAGCCAUCCAAAAUUAUAUUAAAAUGAUUCACAACACAAUAAAACUUUAUAAGACAAUAUACACAAUAGAAUAAAAAUUUGUAAGACCAAAUAAAUCCUAUUCUACUUGAAACUGAAAAACAGUUAUAAUGCAGGAAUAUUAGGUCAACAUUAUGACUAUGUUCUCCAAUGAAUAUUGAAUAAAUAAUCAAAAGCCAAAAUGCAAUUACGAUAUCUUUAAAUUGGAGUAAACAAAAUUUAAAAUAUAAAUUUAACAAAAAUAUAGCAACCCCAAUUUUCUCUCCACCAGGUCUCAUUGCUUCUAAUAAGAAAUCAAAAUCCACCAACUCAACUUUCUUUUUCUGAAACUAGAAAAUUGAUCAACUCAACUCUCAUUUUUCAAAACUAAAAAUCAAAAUAACAAAUUUAUCAAUACAAUAUCAGUAAAAUUGAAGUACAAAAUUACUAAAGAAGAAUGAUAAAUCUAUGGUGAAAAUAUUACCAGAGAAAGAAAAGGAAGGAGCAGCGAACAGAAGCCUAUGCCGGAUGUGUAAUUUUGCCUUAGCCGGAUUUAUUGCCUUAAAG
RNAcentral lists this long non-coding RNA (2475 nucleotides) under Nicotiana tabacum (common tobacco). RNAcentral's name for it is "long non-coding RNA (NTAB_LNC015071)". Lineage: Eukaryota; Viridiplantae; Streptophyta; Magnoliopsida; Solanales; Solanaceae. The record is from RNAcentral.